RNAcentral lists this transfer RNA (65 nucleotides) under Coleoptera sp. ACP-2013. Its description in RNAcentral is "tRNA-Asp". The record is from RNAcentral. Lineage: Eukaryota; Metazoa; Arthropoda; Insecta; Coleoptera.
AAAAAUUAGUUAAUUUAUAACAUUAGAUUGUCAAUCUAAAAUUAUUUUUCAAAAAUAUUUUUUAA